RNAcentral lists this ribosomal RNA (278 nucleotides) under uncultured Rikenellaceae bacterium. Its description in RNAcentral is "partial 16S ribosomal RNA". It matches the Rfam family "Bacterial small subunit ribosomal RNA", at positions 511 to 788 of the family's 1533-position model. The record is from RNAcentral. Lineage: Bacteria; Pseudomonadati; Bacteroidota; Bacteroidia; Bacteroidales; Rikenellaceae.
GCAGCCGCGGUAAUACGUAGGUGGCAAGCGUUGUCCGGAUUUACUGGGUGUAAAGGGCGUGUAGACGGGAUGGCAAGUCAGAUGUGAAAUUUAUGGGCUCAACCCAUAACCUGCAUUUGAAACUGUUGUUCUUGAGUGAUGGAGAGGUAAGCGGAAUUCCUAGUGUAGCGGUGAAAUGCGUAGAUAUUAGGAGGAACACCGGUGGCGAAGGCGGCUUACUGGACAUUUACUGACGUUGAGGCGCGAAAGUGUGGGGAGCAAACAGGAUUAGAUACCCC